RNAcentral lists this ribosomal RNA (495 nucleotides) under uncultured bacterium. RNAcentral describes it as "partial 16S ribosomal RNA". It matches the Rfam family "Bacterial small subunit ribosomal RNA", at positions 29 to 506 of the family's 1533-position model. The record is from RNAcentral.
AUGAACGCUGGCGGCGUGCCUAAUACAUGCCAGUCGAGCGAACAGACGAGGAGCUUGCUCCUCUGACGUUAGCGGCGGACGGGUGAGUAACACGUGGAUAACCUACCUAUAAGACUGGGAUAACUUCGGGAAACCGGAGCUAAUACCGGAUAAUAUAUUGAACCGCAUGGUUCAAUAGUGAAAGACGGUUUUGCUGUCACUUAUAGAUGGAUCCGCGCCGCAUUAGCUAGUUGGUAAGGUAACGGCUUACCAAGGCAACGAUGCGUAGCCGACCUGAGAGGGUGAUCGGCCACACGGGAACGGAGACACGGUCCAGACUCCUACGGGAGGCAGCAGUAGGGAAUCUUCCGCAAUGGGCGAAAGCCUGACGGAGCAACGCCGCGUGAGUGAUGAAGGUCUUCGGAUCGUAAAACUCUGUUAUUAGGGAAGAACAAAUGUGUAAGUAACUAUGCACGUCUUGACGGUACCUAAUCAGAAAGCCACGGCUAACUACGU